Long non-coding RNA from Daphnia magna, 281 nucleotides. RefSeq lists it as uncharacterized. NCBI's taxonomy places the organism in Eukaryota, Metazoa, Arthropoda, Branchiopoda, Diplostraca, Daphniidae. The transcript is spliced from 2 exons. The record is from RefSeq and is a predicted model, not a curated record.
GCUUUGGUUUACAGAGACGAACUAGAUAUUUGUAAAUUGUUCCUGCCAACCAGGUUCCCCAAUCACUGCUGGAAUCCCCUGGUAGAUGUGGAUAUAUCCCAAGUAUGCCUGGUGUGCGUUUUCGUUUUUUGGGCGUAGGAACCAACCAGAAUGAGUUAAGGAUGAUGGCCCUCAACGUGCUUGUUGAUGAGGUUGAGUACAUGUUUGGUUUUAAUCCUCAACCACACAGAACACGUAACAGAGGUUGAAUACACAAAUCCUUUUCUUCACUUUUUAAAUUA